Molecule: ribosomal RNA, 773 nt
Filed under: uncultured marine bacterium
Lineage: Bacteria
Description: bacterial SSU rRNA
Rfam family: Bacterial small subunit ribosomal RNA
Source: RNAcentral
UACUGAGUGGCGAACGGGUGAGUAUAAUGUGGGUAUCUGCCUUUUGGUUUGGAAUAACACGAGGAAACUUGUGCUAAUACCGGAUAAGCCUUCACAGGGAAAGUUUUAACGCCAAAAGAUGAGCCCGCACUUGAUUAGCUAGUUGGUAAGGUAAUGGCUUACCAAGGCUACGAUCAAUAGCUGAUCUGAGAGGAUGAUCAGCCACAUUGGGACUGAGACACGGCCCAAACUCCUACGGGAGGCAGCAGUGGGGAAUCUUGCACAAUGGGGGAAACCCUGAUGCAGCGAUGCCGCGUGAGUGAAGAAGGCCUUUGGGUUGUAAAGCUCUUUCGUCGGGGAAGAAAAUGACUGUACCCGAAUAAGAAGGUCCGGCUAACUUCGUGCCAGCAGCCGCGGUAAUACGAAGGGACCUAGCGUAGUUCGGAAUUACUGGGCUUAAAGAGCUCGUAGGUGGUUAGAAAAGUUAGUGGUGAAAUCCCAAGGCUUAACCUUGGAACUGCCACUAAAACUUUUUGACUAGAGUAUGAUAGAGGUAAGCGGAAUUUCUAGUGUAGAGGUGAAAUUCGUAGAUAUUAGAAAGAACACCAAUUGCGAAGGCAGCUUUCUGGAUCAUUACUGACACUGAGGAGCGAAAGCAUGGGUAGCGAAGAGGAUUAGAUACCCUCGUAGUCCAUGCCGUAAACGAUGUGUGCUAGACGUUGGAAAUUUAUUUUUCAGUGUCGCAGCAAAAGCGUUAAGCACACCGCCUGGGGAGUACGACCGCAAGGGUUAAA